GGGCAGUGGCUAAGGCCAUUACCAUGCCAAUGACGGUGGUGGCCCACAACAAUAGGUGGGGGGUGGGAAGCCUUUGGCUUUCUGGCGGCGACAGAAUUGCCGCACGUAGCAUCUCGCAUGGCCAUGGGAAUAGCGGCAUGUGCCAUGACGGAGGGAGAAAGGGAUUUCGGGUUUGGAUCCUAACAGAUCCAGAUCCAAACCCAUUAAGGUUCCAACC
RNAcentral lists this long non-coding RNA (217 nucleotides) under Elaeis guineensis (African oil palm). Its description in RNAcentral is "long non-coding RNA (EGUI_LNC024830)". The record is from RNAcentral. Lineage: Eukaryota; Viridiplantae; Streptophyta; Magnoliopsida; Arecales; Arecaceae.